ACGGGUGAGUAACACGUAGGCAACCUGCCCUCAAGUUUGGGACAACUACCGGAAACGGUAGCUAAUACCGAAUAAUUGUUUUCUUCGCCUGAAGGAAAUUGGAAAGACGGAGCAAUCUGUCACUUGGGGAUGGGCCUGCGGCGCAUUAGCUAGUUGGUGGGGUAACGGCUCACCAAGGCGACGAUGCGUAGCCGACCUGAGAGGGUGAUCGGCCACACUGGGACUGAGACACGGCCCAGACUCCUACGGGAGGCAGCAGUAGGGAAUCUUCCGCAAUGGGCGAAAGCCUGACGGAGCAAUGCCGCGUGAGUGAUGAAGGUUUUCGGAUCGUAAAGCUCUGUUGCCAGGGAAGAACGCUUGGGAGAGUAACUGCUCUCAAGGUGACGGUACCUGAGAAGAAAGCCCCGGCUAACUACGUGCCAGCAGCCGCGGUAAUACGUAGGGGGCAAGCGUUGUCCGGAAUUAUUGGGCGUAAAGCGCGCGCAGGCGGUCAUUUAAGUCUGGUGUUUAAUCCCGGGGCUCAACCCCGGAUCGCACUGGAAACUGGGUGACUUGAGUGCAGAAGAGGAGAGUGGA
Molecule: ribosomal RNA, 576 nt
Filed under: uncultured bacterium
Lineage: Bacteria
Description: bacterial SSU rRNA
Rfam family: Bacterial small subunit ribosomal RNA
Source: RNAcentral